RNAcentral lists this ribosomal RNA (473 nucleotides) under uncultured bacterium. RNAcentral describes it as "SSU rRNA". It matches the Rfam family "Bacterial small subunit ribosomal RNA", at positions 26 to 518 of the family's 1533-position model. The record is from RNAcentral.
AGGACGAACGCUGGCGGCGUGCUUAACACAUGCAAGUCGAGCGGAAAGGCCCUUCGGGGUACUCGAGCGGCGAACGGGUGAGUAACACGUGAGUAAUCUGCCCCUAGCUCUGGGAUAGCUCCGGGAAACCGGGAUUAAUACCAGAUACGACCACUUUAGACAUCUGUUGUGGUGGAAAGAAUUUCGGCUAGGGAUGAGCUCGCGGCCUAUCAGCUUGUUGGUGAGGUAACGGCUCACCAAGGCGACGACGGGUAGCCGGCCUGAGAGGGCGACCGGCCACACUGGGACUGAGACACGGCCCAGACUCCUACGGGAGGCAGCAGUGGGAUAUUGCGCAAUGGGCGAAAGCCUGACGCAGCGACGCCGCGUGGGGGAGUGAAGGCCUUCGGGUUGUAAACCCCGUUUCAGCAGGACGAAGCGAAGUGACGGUACCUGCAGAAGAAGCGCCGGCUAACUACGCGCCAGCACGCCGC